GGCCACCGCAUCACCGCAUCUCCACAGGCGACCAAGCUGUUGGGAUCCCUCUGGUCAGCCCAUAAUAAUUUCCACAUGAAAAUUCCAAAUUUUAGGGCGAAGAUGGUAUAGUUUUAGACAGGGUAGUUCCCAUGCGCUUGCGUCCUUUGACUCCUCGUCUCAAUUAUUGGCCAUACGAGGUGUGCGGGAUAAGUCUGGCACUAUGUGAUAUGUAUUGAAUCGCGGGAAGCAGGUUAGCUGAGUCUGCAAUCGUAGGCCUCGAACAAUAUACCAUGCAUUCACUUCAAGUUCUGACAUUGCUAUUUCACUCGCCGUUGGUGCCAGAAACUGCUUCAAAUUCGGCCCGAAUCAUCUCGUUGUUCAAGCGUUUGUCGAGGUUAUCAAGGAGUUUCCAGCAGCCAUCUGCUCUCCCACGCAGCGUACGAAGUACUGGUAGUUCACACGAUAUGGAAUCAUCCCGAGAGGAGAAAAAUCGACAGAGCUCUUCACCCCUCCCUAGUCCAUAUUCGCGAUUUAUAAAUAUCUGGAUGCCAGUUCAACACGGUCGUUUUGUAAUGGAGGACCUCUUCAUCAAAGCGAUCCCAAUCCCAUGGAACAGUUGCAGCUCCCAAACACCC
This 617-nucleotide small RNA is filed under the name Histoplasma capsulatum var. duboisii H88. RNAcentral's name for it is "Histoplasma capsulatum H88 hypothetical RNA". Lineage: Eukaryota; Fungi; Ascomycota; Eurotiomycetes; Onygenales; Ajellomycetaceae. The record is from RNAcentral.